This 253-nucleotide ribosomal RNA is filed under the name uncultured bacterium. Its description in RNAcentral is "partial 16S ribosomal RNA". It matches the Rfam family "Bacterial small subunit ribosomal RNA", at positions 524 to 776 of the family's 1533-position model. The record is from RNAcentral.
UACGAAGGGAGCAAGCGUUAUUCGGAAUGACUGGGCGUAAAGGGCGCGUAGGCGGAUAGGUACGUCGGAUGGGAAAGCCCUGGGCUUAACCUGGGAAGGACAUUCGAUACGGUUUAUCUUGAGUGUGUGAGGGGAAGACGGAAUUGCGAGUGGAGAGGUGAAAUUCGUAGAGAUUCGCAGGAACACCGGCGGCGAAGGCGGUCUUCUGGUGCACAACUGACGCUGAGGCGCGAGAGCGUGGGGAGCAAACAGG